GAUGAACGCUGGCGGCGUGCCUAAUACAUGCAAGUCGAGCGAACGGACGAGAAGCUUGCUUCUCUGAUGUUAGCGGCGGACGGGUGAGUAACACGUGGAUAACCUACCUAUAAGACUGGGAUAACUUCGGGAAACCGGAGCUAAUACCGGAUAAUAUUUUGAACCGCAUGGUUCAAAAGUGAAAGACGGUCUUGCUGUCACUUAUAGAUGGAUCCGCGCUGCAUUAGCUAGUUGGUAAGGUAGCGGCUUACCAAGGCAACGAUGCAUAGCCGACCUGAGAGGGUGAUCGGCCACACUGGAACUGAGACACGGUCCAGACUCCUACGGGAGGCAGCAGUAGGGAAUCUUCCGCAAUGGGCGAAAGCCUGACGGAGCAACGCCGCGUGAGUGAUGAAGGUCUUCGGAUCGUAAAACUCUGUUAUUAGGGAAGAACAUAUGUGUAAGUAACUGUGCACAUCUUGACGGUACCUAAUCAGAAAGCCACGGCUAACUACGU
This 496-nucleotide ribosomal RNA is filed under the name uncultured bacterium. RNAcentral describes it as "partial 16S ribosomal RNA". It matches the Rfam family "Bacterial small subunit ribosomal RNA", at positions 28 to 506 of the family's 1533-position model. The record is from RNAcentral.